UCCAAGGUAGCUCAACGGUAGAGCACUCGGCUGUUAACCGAUAGGUUGUGGGUUCGAGCCCCACCCUUGGAGCCA
This 75-nucleotide transfer RNA is filed under the name Bacillota bacterium. RNAcentral describes it as "tRNA-Asn". It matches the Rfam family "tRNA". Rfam says of the family: Transfer RNA (tRNA) molecules are approximately 80 nucleotides in length. The record is from RNAcentral. RNAcentral also lists the same sequence under 4 other names. Lineage: Bacteria; Bacillati; Bacillota.